This 211-nucleotide unclassified non-coding RNA is filed under the name uncultured Inocybe. Its description in RNAcentral is "sequence contains ITS1". The record is from RNAcentral. Lineage: Eukaryota; Fungi; Basidiomycota; Agaricomycetes; Agaricales; Cortinariaceae.
UUGAAUAAACUUGAACAGGCUGUUGCUGGGCCCCUAGGGGCAAAUGUGCACGCUUGUCAUUGUUACUUUAUCCAAACUGUGCACACAUUGUAGAUCUGAAAAAUUGGUGACUGCUGUGCUCAAAGCCAGCUUUUUUUGCCUUCAGGUCUAUGUUGGCUUUCACAAACCUUGAAAUCAUGUUUUUUUUUAAAAAAAAAAAGUUUGAAAUAUA